This 798-nucleotide ribosomal RNA is filed under the name Escherichia coli. RNAcentral describes it as "partial 23S ribosomal RNA". It matches the Rfam family "Bacterial large subunit ribosomal RNA", at positions 391 to 1191 of the family's 2925-position model. The record is from RNAcentral. Lineage: Bacteria; Pseudomonadati; Pseudomonadota; Gammaproteobacteria; Enterobacterales; Enterobacteriaceae.
CACAUGCUGUGAGCUCGAUGAGUAGGGCGGGACACGUGGUAUCCUGUCUGAAUAUGGGGGGACCAUCCUCCAAGGCUAAAUACUCCUGACUGACCGAUAGUGAACCAGUACCGUGAGGGAAAGGCGAAAAGAACCCCGGCGAGGGGAGUGAAAAAGAACCUGAAACCGUGUACGUACAAGCAGUGGGAGCCUCUUAAUGGGGUGACUGCGUACCUUUUGUAUAAUGGGUCAGCGACUUAUAUUCUGUAGCAAGGUUAACCGAAUAGGGGAGCCGAAGGGAAACCGAGUCUUAACUGGGCGUUAAGUUGCAGGGUAUAGACCCGAAACCCGGUGAUCUAGCCAUGGGCAGGUUGAAGGUUGGGUAACACUAACUGGAGGACCGAACCGACUAAUGUUGAAAAAUUAGCGGAUGACUUGUGGCUGGGGGUGAAAGGCCAAUCAAACCGGGAGAUAGCUGGUUCUCCCCGAAAGCUAUUUAGGUAGCGCCUCGUGAAUUCAUCUCCGGGGGUAGAGCACUGUUUCGGCAAGGGGGUCAUCCCGACUUACCAACCCGAUGCAAACUGCGAAUACCGGAGAAUGUUAUCACGGGAGACACACGGCGGGUGCUAACGUCCGUCGUGAAGAGGGAAACAACCCAGACCGCCAGCUAAGGUCCCAAAGUCAUGGUUAAGUGGGAAACGAUGUGGGAAGGCCCAGACAGCCAGGAUGUUGGCUUAGAAGCAGCCAUCAUUUAAAGAAAGCGUAAUAGCUCACUGGUCGAGUCGGCCUGCGCGGAAGAUGUAACGGGGCUAAACCAUG